RNAcentral lists this long non-coding RNA (743 nucleotides) under Nothobranchius furzeri (turquoise killifish). Its description in RNAcentral is "lncRNA (ENSNFUG00015006133.1)". The record is from RNAcentral. Lineage: Eukaryota; Metazoa; Chordata; Actinopteri; Cyprinodontiformes; Nothobranchiidae.
ACUUUGUGGUGAACAGAUUCGGUUGGCUAGCAGAACAGAUUGCAGUCAUCCCACGGGUCAAACCAGAGAAAAAUUGUGGCUCAGGGAAAACUGGAGCUGUGACCUGGAGCGCAUCACCUGAAAAACAAUUUGGUGUCUUCUGCUUUAAUGACUCAGCUCUAUCAGAUCAGGACGAGACAGUGACAACGUUAGCAGCCGGCCUGCCAUCAUCCCCAGCCACCAGCUCACAGGCGGCGCUGACCCGGUCUUCAUCCCCUCUCACAACUUUGGUCACAUCAACAAGGUCUCCACCAUCAACAGAAGUAACCACUCGCCCUAAGGAGACAUCCUUAGAUUUUAAACUCCUGAUGGAGACAACAAGAACUUCCUCCCCCUCCUCCCCAUCACCUAAAACCGAUCCUCCACAUCACCUUAUAACCUCCAAAAAGGCUGAGGUCAGUUUGGAGUUCCUGACUUCCCCUCAGGCAGCAAAGCCUCCACUAGGAGCUGGACCUACAGCGCUGCUCAGUGUCGGGCUUGUUCUGCUGCUCCUGAUAGCAGCAGGUGUCGGGUGGUACUGCAGACCAAGACCUUUUGGUUGGCGUGGCAGACUGCUGAAUGAUGACACAGAGACAGAGAUGUGGAAGAAAACUGACAUAUACUGUGAACCUGAAGCAGACCUAGAUGAAGAUGAAGUAGACAAAACAUACUCAAGCAACAUCACCCUGUGUGUGGAUCCGUGUUUAAAUCAAACUCUGGAUUAG